This 69-nucleotide transfer RNA is filed under the name Athalia arunachalensis. Its description in RNAcentral is "tRNA-Gln". The record is from RNAcentral. Lineage: Eukaryota; Metazoa; Arthropoda; Insecta; Hymenoptera; Athaliidae.
UUAUAAUUAGUGUAYGAUGCACAAAAAUUUUUGAUUUUUUUAGGUAUAGUUUAACUCUAUUAUUAUAAA